This is a small nucleolar RNA of Talpa occidentalis (Iberian mole), 103 nucleotides long. RefSeq annotates it as small nucleolar RNA U13. The record is from RefSeq and is a predicted model, not a curated record. The transcript has a single exon. Lineage: Eukaryota; Metazoa; Chordata; Mammalia; Eulipotyphla; Talpidae.
AUCAUUUUCCAGUUCAUAAGCAUGAUGAGUGGGUGUUCAUGACAUUAUGUAAGAUGUGCCUCCCUUAAACCACGCAAUGACACAGCCACAUUACCUUAUGACG